CGGACGGUGGGUAAUGUCUGGGAAACUGCCUGAUGAGGGGAUAACUACUGGAAACGGUAGCUAAUACCGCAUAACGUCGCAAGACCAAAGAGGGGGACCUUAGGGCCUCUUGCCAUCGGAUGUGCCCAGAUGGGAUUAGCUAGUAGGUGGGGUAACGGCUCACCUAGGCGACGAUCCCUAGCUGGUCUGAGAGGAUGACCAGCCACACUGGAACUGAGACACGGUCCAG
This 229-nucleotide ribosomal RNA is filed under the name uncultured bacterium. RNAcentral's name for it is "partial 16S ribosomal RNA". It matches the Rfam family "Bacterial small subunit ribosomal RNA", at positions 105 to 334 of the family's 1533-position model. The record is from RNAcentral.